RNAcentral lists this ribosomal RNA (484 nucleotides) under uncultured bacterium. Its description in RNAcentral is "partial 16S ribosomal RNA". It matches the Rfam family "Bacterial small subunit ribosomal RNA", at positions 30 to 507 of the family's 1533-position model. The record is from RNAcentral.
AUUGAACGCUGGCGGCAGCCUUAACAAUUCCAAUUCGAGCGGUUGAAGGGGGUUUCUCCUUGAUUCAAGCGCCGGCCGGGUGAGUAUUCCCUGGGAUCUGCCCUGUAAUUGGGGGUUAACUCCCGAAACCGACCCCUAUUCCCCCUUACUCCCUGGGGAGGAAAGUGGGGGUCCUUGGACCCCCCCCCUUCAGAUGGACCCUAGGUCGGAUUAGCUAGUUGGUGGGGUAAAGGCCUACCAAGGCGACGAUCCGUAACUGGUCUGAGAGGAUGAUCAGUCACACUGGAACUGAGACACGGUCCAGACUCCUACGGGAGGCAGCAGUGGGGAAUAUUGGACAAUGGGCGAAAGCCUGAUCCAGCCAUGCCGCGUGUGUGAAGAAGGUCUUCGGAUUGUAAAGCACUUUAAGUUGGGAGGAAGGGCAGUAAGUUAAUACCUUGCUGUUUUGACGUUACCAACAGAAUAAGCACCGGCUAACUUCGUG